Molecule: ribosomal RNA, 492 nt
Filed under: uncultured bacterium
Lineage: Bacteria
Description: partial 16S ribosomal RNA
Rfam family: Bacterial small subunit ribosomal RNA
Source: RNAcentral
AGUGAACGCUGGCGGUAGGCCUAACACAUGCAAGUCGAACGGCAGCGCAGUAAGAGCUUGCUCUUACGGGUGGCGAGUGGCGUACGUGUGAGGAAUACAUCGGAAUCUACUUUUUCGUGGGGGAUAACGUAGGGAAACUUACUCUAAUACCGCAUACGACCUACGGGUGAAAGCAGUGGAUCUUCUGACCUUGCGCGAUUGAAUUAGCCGAUGUCGGAUUAGCUAGUUGGCGGGUGAAAGGCCCACCAAGGCGACGAUCCGUAGCUGGUCUGAGAGGAUGAUAAGCCACAUUGGAACUGAGACACGCUCCAGACUCCUACGGGAGGCAGCAGUGGGGAAUAUUGGACAAUGGGCGCAAGCAUGAUCCAGCCAUACCGCGUGGGUGAAGAAGGCGUUCGGGUUGUAAAGCCCUUUUGUUGGGAAAGAAAAGCAGCAGGUUAAUACCCAGCUGUUCUGACGGUAACCAAAGAAUAAGCACCGGCUAACUUCGUG